GGGGAAUAUUGGGCAAUGGACGCAAGUCUGACCCAGCAACGCCGCGUGAAGGAAGAAGGCUUUCGGGUUGUAAACUUCUUUUAAGGGGGAAGAGUAGAAGACGGUACCCCUUGAAUAAGCCACGGCUAACUACGUGCCAGCAGCCGCGGUAAUACGUAGGUGGCAAGCGUUGUCCGGAUUUACUGGGUGUAAAGGGCGUGUAGCCGGGAAGGCAAGUCAGAUGUGAAAUCUGGAGGCUCAACCUCCAAACUGCAUUUGAAACUGCAGGGCUUGAGUGCAGGAGAGGAGAGUGGAAUUCCUAGUGUAGCGGUGAAAUGCGUAGAUAUUAGGAGGAACACCAGUGGCGAAGGCGACUCUCUGGACUGUAACUGACGCUGAGGCACGAAAGCGUGGGGAGCAAACA
Molecule: ribosomal RNA, 403 nt
Filed under: uncultured Oscillibacter sp.
Lineage: Bacteria; Bacillati; Bacillota; Clostridia; Eubacteriales; Oscillospiraceae
Description: bacterial SSU rRNA
Rfam family: Bacterial small subunit ribosomal RNA
Source: RNAcentral